AGUGUGAAGCAAAAUGGUGUUGUAUAAAAGGCUAUCAAAGUACAACGAGUGAAAAACGUGGAAUAAAAGAAACUUUGUUUAGAUUCCCGAAAGAUGUAGAAAGGUAUACAUUAAUCAACUGAAAUUAAGAAAGAAAAAGAAGACUUCAGCAUCUAGAUCAGAUGACUGAUGGAUCAAGGAUGGAUACACAUUUGUCAAUAUUAUGAUUAUCAGAUUAUAUUUUUCUAACGUCGUUUAUAACGUAUUUAUUAAUUAUUGUAUACUAGUAGGCCAAUUAGUCGUUGACUGAAGUCAACAACGAUUAGGUUUAAAUUUUUGAAAAUCAUCUAUUACUCCUUUAUCAUUUAUUAAUGUAAUUUAAAUAAAAAUAUUUGCUGCCAA
Megachile rotundata (alfalfa leafcutting bee) is the source of this 381-nucleotide long non-coding RNA. The record is from RefSeq and is a predicted model, not a curated record. Lineage: Eukaryota; Metazoa; Arthropoda; Insecta; Hymenoptera; Megachilidae.